RNAcentral lists this ribosomal RNA (483 nucleotides) under uncultured bacterium. RNAcentral's name for it is "partial 16S ribosomal RNA". It matches the Rfam family "Bacterial small subunit ribosomal RNA", at positions 28 to 507 of the family's 1533-position model. The record is from RNAcentral.
GACGAACGCUGGCGGCGUGCUUAACACAUGCCAGUCGAACGCUGAAGCUCAGCUUUUGUUGGGUGGAUGAGUGGCGAACGGGUGAGUAACACGUGAGUAACCUGCCUCCUUCUUUGGGAUAACGCCCGGAAACGGGUGCUAAUACUGGAUAUUCACUGGUCUUCGCAUGGGGGUUGGUGGAAAGGGUUUUUCUGGUGGGGGAUGGGCUCGCGGCCUAUCAGCUUGUUGGUGGGGUGAUGGCCUACCAAGGCUUUGACGGGUAGCCGGCCUGAGAGGGUGACCGGUCACAUUGGGACUGAGAUACGGCCCAGACUCCUACGGGAGGCAGCAGUGGGGAAUAUUGCACAAUGGGCGCAAGCCUGAUGCAGCGACGCCGCGUGAGGGAUGGAGGCAUUCGGGUUGUGAACCUCUUUCGCUCAUGGUCAAGCCGCAACAAUGGUUGUGGUGAGGGUAGUGGGUAAAGAAGCGCCGGCUAACUACGUG